This 609-nucleotide long non-coding RNA is filed under the name Phoenix dactylifera (date palm). RNAcentral's name for it is "long non-coding RNA (PDAC_LNC017187)". The record is from RNAcentral. Lineage: Eukaryota; Viridiplantae; Streptophyta; Magnoliopsida; Arecales; Arecaceae.
UCACCCAUCAAGUUCUUUUCUCAGCAUACGGCCUUCCCAUGUCCACGUCCUCACCUUGCAACAAGAUAACCUGUUCUCCCAUGUCCAAAGAACAAAUCCAAACUCCCCUCAUCCAAAUAAGUUCCAGCUUCUUCCGUGUGGAGAAAUAGCACCCCAGCUUCUUCCAAAUCCCUUGCGUUCCACGACAUCAACUUAUAAACAAAAUCCCCUGUUUCUCCACGUUCAUCCUCAUCCUUCCCACGCUCACAUCCAAACUUCCCACAAAACGGAGUCCAGCUCCCCCUUGUGCCUGUGUUCAUCUUCCACCCGUCCGAGAUCCUCUCCACAUCCUCCUCCACGUUGAAGCCUCGUUAGUUUCUUCCAGAUUCUUCCCAGUGGAGCAAGGUUCAUCCGCAUUCCAGCUGCUCACCCGCAUGCAUCCUAACAUCCUGAGUUCAUCUCGUAUCCAGCCGAAUUCCCAUUCUCUAGCAUCUGCAUCCUUCUGCAUCCAAAGAUCCCCUGUUCCCAGUCGUAUCCACCGUUUCCAAACCUCCUCAACUUCUCUUCAUCCCGCAUCGUCCCCAGAUGAAUCCCCUGCAUCCCAGAGCUGAGUCUUCUAUGCCUUGCUCU